RNAcentral lists this ribosomal RNA (507 nucleotides) under uncultured bacterium. RNAcentral describes it as "bacterial SSU rRNA". It matches the Rfam family "Bacterial small subunit ribosomal RNA", at positions 15 to 518 of the family's 1533-position model. The record is from RNAcentral.
GAUCAUGGCUCAGGAUGAACGCUAGCGGCAGGCUUAACACAUGCAAGUCGAGGGCAUCGGGAGUAGCAAUACUUGCCGGCGACCGGCGCAAGGGUGCGUAACGCGUGAGCAACAUGCCCGUAUCAGGGGGAUAAUCCAUGGAAACGUGGUCUAAUACCCCAUAGUAAUUAUGUAAGGCAUCUUAUAUAAUUUAAAGCUUUGGUGGAUACGGAUUGGCUCGCGUGACAUUAGCUGGAUGGUAAGGUAACGGCUUACCAUGGCUACGAUGUCUAGGGGUUCUGAGAGGAAGGUCCCCCACACUGGAACUGAGACACGGUCCAGACUCCUACGGGAGGCAGCAGUGAGGAAUAUUGGACAAUGGAUGGAAAUCUGAUCCAGCCAUGCCGCGUGCAGGAAGACGGCCCUAUGGGUUGUAAACUGCUUUUGUAUGGGAGCAAUAAGGGCUACGUGUAGUCCGAUGAGAGUACCAUACGAAUAAGCACCGGCUAACUCCGUGCCAGCCGCCGC